This 484-nucleotide ribosomal RNA is filed under the name uncultured bacterium. RNAcentral's name for it is "partial 16S ribosomal RNA". It matches the Rfam family "Bacterial small subunit ribosomal RNA", at positions 30 to 507 of the family's 1533-position model. The record is from RNAcentral.
AUUGAACGCUGGCGGCAGGCCUAACACAUGCAAGUCGAGCGGAUGAAGGGAGCUUGCUCCUGGAUACAGCGGCGGACGGGCGAGUAAUGCCUAGGAACCUGCCUGGUAGUGGGGGAUAACGUCCGGAAACGGGCGCUCAUACCGCAUACGUCCUGAGGGAGUAAGUGGGGGAUCAUCGGACCUCACGCUAUCAGAUGAGCCUAGGUCGGAUUAGCUAGUUGGUGGGGUAAAGGCCUACCAAGGCGACGAUCCGUAACUGGUCUGAGAGGAUGAUCAGUCACACUGGAACUGAGACACGGUCCAGACUCCUACGGGAGGCAGCAGUGGGGAAUAUUGGACAAUGGGCGAAAGCCUGAUCCAGCCAUGCCGCGUGUGUGAAGAAGGUCUUCGGAUUGUAAAGCACUUUAAGUUGGGAGGAAGGGCAGUAAGUUAAUACCUUGCUGUUUUGACGUUACCAACAGAAUAAGCACCGGCUAACUUCGUG